RNAcentral lists this ribosomal RNA (253 nucleotides) under uncultured Oscillospiraceae bacterium. RNAcentral's name for it is "partial 16S ribosomal RNA". It matches the Rfam family "Bacterial small subunit ribosomal RNA", at positions 524 to 776 of the family's 1533-position model. The record is from RNAcentral. Lineage: Bacteria; Bacillati; Bacillota; Clostridia; Eubacteriales; Oscillospiraceae.
AACGUAGGUGGCAAGCGUUGUCCGGAAUUACUGGGUGUAAAGGGAGCGCAGGCGGAAUGGUAAGUCGGAUGUGAAAUCUAUGGGCUCAACCCAUAAAUUGCGUCCGAAACUACUGUUCUUGAGUGAUGUAGAGGUAGGCGGAAUGCCCGGUGUAGCGGUGGAAUGCGUAGAUAUCGGGAGGAACACCAGUGGCGAAGGCGGCCUACUGGGCAUCAACUGACGCUGAGGCUCGAAAGCAUGGGGAGCAAACAGG